GGGCCCGCACAAGCGGUGGAGCAUGUGGUUUAAUUCGAUGCAACGCGAAGAACCUUACCUACACUUGACAUACAGAGAACUUACCAGAGAUGGUUUGGUGCCUUCGGGAGCUCUGAUACAGGUGCUGCAUGGCUGUCGUCAGCUCGUGUUGUGAGAUGUUGGGUUAAGUCCCGCAACGAGCGCAACCCCUAUCCUUAGUUGCCAGCGAUUCGGUCGGGAACUCUAAGGAGACUGCCGGUGACAAACCGGAGGAAGGUGGGGGACGACGUCAAGUCAUCAUGGCCCUUACGGCUUGGGGCUACACACGUGCUACAAUGGCAAGUACAGAGCGGCUGCUAACCCCGCGAGGGGGAG
RNAcentral lists this ribosomal RNA (354 nucleotides) under uncultured bacterium. RNAcentral describes it as "bacterial SSU rRNA". It matches the Rfam family "Bacterial small subunit ribosomal RNA", at positions 917 to 1267 of the family's 1533-position model. The record is from RNAcentral.